RNAcentral lists this ribosomal RNA (424 nucleotides) under Verrucomicrobiota bacterium. RNAcentral describes it as "Verrucomicrobia bacterium partial 16S ribosomal RNA". It matches the Rfam family "Bacterial small subunit ribosomal RNA", at positions 355 to 776 of the family's 1533-position model. Lineage: Bacteria; Pseudomonadati; Verrucomicrobiota. The record is from RNAcentral.
UGAGGAAUAUUGGUCAAUGGACGCAAGUCUGAACCAGCCAAGUAGCGUGCAGGAUGACGGCCCUAUGGGUUGUAAACUGCUUUUAUAUGGGGAUAAAGUGGGGAACGUGUUCCCUUUUGCAGGUACCAUAUGAAUAAGGACCGGCUAAUUCCGUGCCAGCAGCCGCGGUAAUACGGAAGGUUCGGGCGUUAUCCGGAUUUAUUGGGUUUAAAGGGAGCGUAGGCCGUUUGGUAAGCGUGUUGUGAAAUGUAGGAGCUCAACUUCUAGAUUGCAGCGCGAACUGUCAGACUUGAGUGCGCCCAACGUAGGCGGAAUUCAUGGUGUAGCGGUGAAAUGCUUAGAUAUCAUGAAGAACUCCGAUUGCUAAUGCAGCUUACGGGAGCGCAACUGACGCUGAAGCUCGAAGGUGCGGGUAUCGAACAGG